This 6696-nucleotide long non-coding RNA is filed under the name Sus scrofa (pig). Its description in RNAcentral is "lncRNA (ENSSSCG00000063188.1)". Lineage: Eukaryota; Metazoa; Chordata; Mammalia; Artiodactyla; Suidae. The record is from RNAcentral.
AAAGGUGGCAGAGGGUAUCUGGCAUUUUAAGCUUCUGCAGUGAGAGGCGGGCUCUGUCUCCCAUCACAGUUCACAUGGUGAAGAAUUUUAUCCGUUUUUGGGAGACUUUGAUGCUGAGCAGUCUAAAAGAACAAUUAGUGGCCAUUUUAUAGGUAAGAAAAUUGAAACCCAGCAUUAUCAUAAUUUUCAGAAAGACACCCCUGUUAAUAACUGGCAGAACCUUGAUUGGAACCUAAAUUGGGAUGACCCUGAAAUCUCUCUUCCCAGCUCUUUUGUGUUCUGGUUGUUGCUAUCCAUUUCUGAUUUGGGUCAGCUGUUCCCCUAAGUCCUCAUUUUGGUUUCUCAGAAGUCACAAGUGUACACUUUAUGUUUUUUAUCCCUUUCUCUCAGCAGCCUGGCUACUAAGCAGCCCUGCUACUGUAUCUCUGUUUCAUUUUAGGAACCAAAAGAAUCAUCCCUUAGAGUUUGCUCAUGUUGCUUGUUCUAAUAGCAGCCCUUAGUACUGCUUUGAGAUUCUUGACAUGGGAAAUUCACACAUACGUCAGCCUCAACCAUGAAAUAUUUGAUUCUUAGAUGUGAAUUUUCAAAUAUUUUCGUACAUUCUGUGAACCCAUAUGAAGAUUUAAUGACCUUCAGGCUUAAAGGUUUUGAACCUUGAAUAACAACUGAAUUUUUAAAAUAGGAUUUUUUGAAAAGUAAAUGUAAAAAAAGGUAAAAUAAGAGAGAAAAUAUGUGUAGACUGUAAAUAUUUUUGAAACAGAGGAAAGAGGCUUUUAGGCAUUGUCAGUUGCUAGGAAACCAUGUCUUGGCUAUAUAGUUUCGAAAUUACUGAAUGUCUCAUGCUUUGGGUCCAUAGAGUACCAGUAGGAACAAAAGAAAAUCUGAUGCAAUAAAAUGCUUUUCAUUUUCAGUGCUUAGAAAAGAUGACUACCAAAACAAUUAAUUGAAGAAAAUGAUGUACCAAUAAUAAGGUUCAAGUCAUGCAUUUGGAGGCCUGGGCUUACAUUACUAUGUAUUUAUGAAGCUAUGAGGACAUGAAAUAAUUCAUUAUGUUUUGGGGGGAUUAGAGUCACCAUCUUAGAAUUAUAUGUACUAUUAACUACUUCACAGGGUUUUCAUGUAAAAUCAAUAAUAGCACUUUGUGCAACAUAUGACAUGUAUUUAGUGUAUGGUAUCUGAACCAGAAAUGCAUUUAUUUUGAUGUUUUUAGUCCUAUGAGCCCUCAUGCAGUGCAGCCUCUUCUCAUCUGCUCCCUCAUCGCUCUCACUUGGCUUACGGAAGUAGCCUUUCAACAGCCUUUCUCUUAGAGCCAGCUAUAGUUCCCAAACAAAAACCAUAUUCUCUGGGGAAAUAGAGUUGCAUAAAACAAUCAAUAAACAUUCUUCCCUAAGAUUCAAUAAGUUGGAAAAGAGAAAAAAGAAAAAAAUGUAGGAGCAGUAGAAUACCAAAGAAAGCAUAUAAGUUCUUUACAGAAACUUCGAAAAUUGUCAUCUAUAGACAGAAUUUCCUAUGAAUCACUGAUUCAGUUCCUUCUGAAACAGUAUAGUAGGAGAAACUGUGAGUGGACACAUUUCCAAAAACUCCUGCAGAUAACAGAGAUCUAGAAGGAAGAAUCCAGGAUGGGGCAAAAGGGGUGGCAGUAAGUCAGCAGGGCAGGGACAAAUGCAAAAUGUACACUAUGGUCCACCACCACAGGCAAAAAGCACUUAACUUGGGUCAGGGUAUUUAAGAGUUUAUAGCAUUUAUUUUUCUCUGAAAAGGAAGAAAAUGAGAGAGGCCUGGUAAAAUUCUUUUUUUUAAUUACUCAAUGAAUUUAUUACAUCUAUAGCUGUGCAAUGAUCACAAUCCAGUUUUAAGUAUUUCCAUCCCAGACCCCCAGCGCAUUCCCCCACCCCCCAAACUGUCUCCUCCAGAGACCAUAAGUUUUUCAAUUUCUGUGAGUCAGUAUCUGUUCUGCAAAGAAGUUCAGUCUGUCCUUUUUUCAGAUUGCACAUGUCAGUGAAAGCAUUUGAUGUUGGGGUCGCAUUGUCUGACUGACUUAGCAUGAUAAUUUCUAGGUCCAUUCCAUGUUUCUAAAAAUGCCGGUAUUUCAUUCCUUUUUGUGGCUGAGUAAUAUUCCAUUGCGUAUAUGUACUGCAUAUUCUUGAUCCACUCCUCUAUCGAUGGACAUUUAGGUUGUUUCCAAGUCUUGGCUACUGAAAAGAGUGCUACAAUGAGUACAUGUGUCUUUUCGAGUCAUGGUUUUCUCUGGAUAGAUGCCCAGGAAUGGAUCAAAUGGUAGUUCUAUGUUUAGUUUUGUGAGGAAUCGCCACACUUUUUUCCACAGUGGUUGCACCAAUUUACAUUCCCACCAACAGUGUAAUAGGGUUCCUUUUUCUCCACACCCUCUCCAGCACUUAUAGUGUGUAGACUUUUGGAUGAUGGCCAUUCUGGCUGGUGUAAGGUGGUACCUCAGAGUGGUUUUGAUUUGCAUUUCUCUAAUAAUGAGUGAUGUUGAACAUCUUUUCAUGUGUUUCCAGUCCAUCUGUAUGUCUUCUUUGGAGUACUGUCUGUUUAGAUCUUCUGCCCAUUUUUGGAUGGAGUUGUUUGUUUUUUUGUAAUUGAGCUGCAGAAGGUGUUUAUAAAUUUUGGAGAUUAAUCCCUUGUCAGUCAAUUCAUUUGAAAAUAUUUUCUCCUAUCCUGUGGGUUGUCUUUUCAUUUUGUUUAGGGUUUCCUUUGCUGUGCAGAAACUUUGAAGUUUAAUUAGGUCCCAUUUGUUUAUUUUUGUCUUUACUGUCAAUACUCUAAGAGGUGGAUCUGAGAGGAUGUUGCUGUCGUUUAUGUCAGAGAGGGUUUGGCCUAUGUUUUCCUUUAAGAGUUUUAUAGUGUCUGGUCUUAUAUCUAGGUCUUUAAUCCAUUUGGAGUUUAUUUUUGUGUAUGGUGUUAGGGAGUGUUCUAAUUUCAUUCUUUUCCAUAUGGAUGUCCAGUUUUCCCAGCACCACUUAUUGAACAAGCUGUCUUUUCUCCAUUGUAUAUUCUUGCCUCCUUUGUCAUAGAUUAGUUGACUGUAGAUGCAUGGGUUUAAUUCUGGGCUUUCUAUCCUGUUCCACUGAUCUAUAUUUCUGUCUUUGUGCCAGUACCAUAUGGUUUUGAUGACUGUUGCUUUGUAGUAUAGUCUGAAGUCCGGGAGCCUGAUUCCUCCAGCUCCAUUUUUCUUUUUCAGGAUGUCUUUGGCUAUUCUGGGUCUUUUGUGCUUCCAAACAAACUUUAAAAUAUUUUAUUCGAGUUCUGUGAAAAAUGUCCUUGGUAAUUUGAUAGGGAUUGCAUUGAAUCUGUAGAUUGCCUUAGGUAGUAUAGUUAUUUUGAUAAUAUUGACUGUUCCAAUCCGUGAGCAUGGUAUAUCUUUCCAUCUACUUUUGUCAUCUUUGAUUUCUUUCAUCAGUGUCUUAUGGUUUUUGGAGGACAGGUCUUUUGUCUCUUUAGGUAGGUUUUCUCCUAAGUAUUUUAUUCUUUUGGAUGUGAUGGUAGAUGGGAUUGCUUCCCUAAUUUUUCUUUCUGAUCUUUCAUUGUUAGUGUAUAGAAAUGCCGUUGAUUUCUGUUUAUUGAUUGAUUUUGUAUCCUGCGACUUUGCCAAAUUCAUGGAUGAGUUCUAACAAUUUUCUGGUAGAGUCUUUAGGAUUCUCUAGGUAUAGUAUCAUGUCAUCUGCAAAUAGGGAUAGUUUUACUUCUUCCUUUCCAGUUUGGAUUCCUUUUAUUUCUUUCUUUUUUUCUUUUUGCCGUUUCUUGGGCCGUUCCUGCGGCAUAUGGAGGUUCCCAGGCUAGGGGUCUAAUCAGAGCUGUAGCUGCCAGCCUAUGGUAGAGCCACAGCAACGCAGGGAUCCAAGCCACGUCUGCAACCUACACCACAGCUCACUGCAAUGCUGGAUCGUUAACCCACUGAGCAAGGCCAAGGAUCGAACCCGCAACCUCAUGGUUCCUAGUCGCAUUCGUUAACCACUGCACCACGACGGGAACUCCUCCUUUUAUUUCUUUUACUUCUCUGAUUGCUGUGGUCAGGACGUCCAAAACUAUGUUGAAUAGUAGUGGUGAGAGUGGACAUCCUUGUCUUGUUCCUGAUCUCAGUGGGAAUUCUUUCAGCUUUUCACCAUUGAGAAUGAUGUUUGCUGUGGGUUUGUUAUAUAUGGCCUCUAUCAUGUUGAGGUAGGUUCCCUCUAUGCCCACUUUCUGAAGGUUUUUUUUUUUUUUUAUCAGAAAUGGGUGUUGGAUUUUGUCAAAGGCUUUUUCUGCAUCUAUUGAGAGGAUUAUAUGGUUUUUAUUCUUCAGUUUGUUAAUGUGGUGUAUCACACUGAUUGAUUUGAAGAUAUUGAAGAAUCCUUGCAUUCCUGGGAUAAAUCCCACUUGAUAAUGAGGUACAAUCCUUUUAGUGUAUUGUUAGAUUCGGUUCACUAGUAUUUUGUUGAGGAUUUUUGCAUCGAUGUUCAUCAGUGAAAUUGGCCUAUAGUUUUCUUUUUUUGUGGUGUCUUUGUCUGGUUUUGGUACCAGGGUGAUGGUGGCCUCAUAGAAUGAGUUUGGGAGUAUCUCUUCCUCUGCAACUUUUUGGAAUAGUUUCAGAAGUAUAGGUGUUAGCUCUUCUCUAAAUGUUGGGUAGAAUUCACCUCUGAAGCCAUCUGGUCUAGGUCUUUUGUUCGUUGGAAGUUUUUAAAUCACAUUUUCAAUUUCAGUACUUGUGAUUGGUCCUUUCAUCUUUUCUAUUUCAUCUUGGUUUAGUCUUGGAAGGUUGUACUUUUCUAAGAAUUUGUCCAUUUCUUCUAGGAUUUCCAUUUUAUUGGCGUAUAGUUGCGUAUAGUAGUCUCUUACGAUCUUUUGUAUUUCUGUGAUGUCCGUUUUUACUUCUCCUUUUUCAAAAUUUUAUUUUUGAGUCCUCUCUAUUUUUUCCUUGUUAAGGCUGGCUAAAUGUUUAUUAAUUUUUUUUGAUCUUUUCAAAGAACCAGCUUUUUGUUUCAUUGAUCUUUUCUAUGUUUCUAUUUCAUUGAUUUCUGCUCUGAUCUUUGUGAUUUCUUCCUUCUGCUCACUUUAGGUCUUGUCUGUUCUUCUCUCUCGAGCUGCUUUAGAUGUAAAGUUAGCUUGUUUAUUUGUGCUUUUUCUUGUUUCCUGAGGUGGGCUUGUAUUGCUAUAAACUUUCCUCUUAGAAUGACUUUUGCUGCAUCCUAUAGGUUUUGGAAUGUUGUGUCUUUGUUGUCAUUUGCUUCUAGGUAUUUUUUAAUUUCCUCUUUAAUUUAUUCAGUGAUCCAUUGGUUGUUUAGUAGCAUGUUGUUUGGUCUCCACAUGUUUGUGUUUUUGCAGUUUUUUCUUGUUGAUUUCCAGGCAUAUAACAUUGUGGUCAGAAAAGAUGCUUGAUAUGAUUCAAUUUUCUUAAAGUUACCAAGGUUUGAUUUGUAGACCAGGAUGUCCACAACCAGAAACAAAAAUACUGCAAAUGACAAGGCUCACCAGUAAAGGUAUAUAGAGAGUAAAGAUACGAAAUCAUCCAUGCACAAUUAUGCCAGCAAAAUCAGAAAUCAUGAGAAGAGGAGGGUACAAAUGCAGGACACUGGAGAUGCACUUGCAAUUAAGAGACCAACAACUUAAAGCAAUCAUAUAUAGGCUCUUAUAUCAAAACUUCAGAAUAACUGCAAUCCAAAAAUCUACAAUUGAUACACAAUCAAAUAAUAAAAAUUAAUUCAAAUACACUAUUGAUAGUCAUCAAACCACAAGAGGAGAGAACAAGGGCAGAAGGGAAGAAAAAAGAGCAACAGAAACAAAUCCAAAGCAAUUAGUAAAAUGGCAAUUAGAACAUAAAUAUCAAUAAUUACCUUAAAUGUUAAUGGACUAAAUGCCCCAACCAAAAGACAUAGACUGGCUGAAUGAAUACAAAAACAAGACCCACAUAUAUGCUGUCUUCAAGAGACCGAUUUCACUUCUAGGGACAUACAAAUUGAAAGUGAGAGGAUGGAUGAAAAUAUUCCAUGCAAACGGUAAUCAAUAGAAAGCUGGAGUAGCGAUACUCAUAACAGAAAAAGUAGACUUUAAAAUGAGGAAUGUUUUAAGGGACAAGGAAGGUCACUACAUAAUGAUCAAAGGAUCAAUCCAAGAAGAAGAUAUAACAAUUUUAAAUAUCUAUGCAUGCAACCUAGGUUCACCACAAUAUAUAAGGCACUGCUAACAACCUUAAAAGGACAAAUCGACAAUAACAAAUAAUAGUGGGGGACUUUAACACCCCACUUACAGCAAUGGAUAGAUCAUCCAGACAUGAAAUCAAUAAGGAAAUGCAGGCCCUGAAUGAAGUAUUAGACCAGAUGGACUUAAUAGAUAUUUAUAGGACAUUCCAUCCAAAGCAGAAGAAUACACAUUCUUCUCAAGUGCACAUGGAACAUUCUCUAAGAUUGAUCACAUCCUGGGCUAUAAAUCAAACCUUGGUAAAUUUCAAAGUUCCUGUUUCAUGAGUUCCCAUUGUGGCUCAUUGGAAAUGAAUCUGACUAGCAUCCAUGAGGAUGCAGGUUCAUCCCUGGCCUCUCUCAGUAGGUUAAGGAUCGGGCAUUGCCAUGAGCUGUGGUGUAGGUCGCAGACUCAGAUCGGAGUUGACUCAGCUCCUGUGUUGCUGUGGCUGUGGUGUCGGCCAGCAGCUACAUCUCUGAUUCGACCCCUAGCUUGGGAACCUCCAUAUGCCUCAGGUGUGGU